This is a non-coding RNA of Rhinichthys klamathensis goyatoka, 473 nucleotides long. The record is from the annotation of a RefSeq genome assembly. Lineage: Eukaryota; Metazoa; Chordata; Actinopteri; Cypriniformes; Leuciscidae.
GUUUAAGAAUGGGUUGGUUUGUGCUAUCUCAUCAUUUGUCUUUAGGUUCAACAUGAUUAGACAUCUGAUUAACACUGCUAUAUUGUUGCUCUAUUUUACAGGCUUCUCAGUGAACUCUAUUAUCACACAGACCCCUUCUGACAUACUCUCCAAAAGCAACACAGAAUCAGUGAGUCUUCACUGUUCUCACAGCAGUUCAAGCUUCAACGUCAUCCUCUGGUACAAGCAGCCUCUUAAUGGAGAAAUGCAGCUCAUGGGGUAUCUAUACAGAACAAAUGACAACACAGAACUAGUUUUCAAGGAGAAAAUCAAGCUAUCGGGGAGUGGUGCAAGUAACAGCAAUUUGACACUGAAAAGCCUUUCCUCAGAUGACAGUGCAAUCUAUUACUGUGCUGCAAGAGAACACGGUGCUGUGGGUUUCCUGCACUUCUGCACAAAAACCUUAUCAUGAAUCUCUUAUACGUUACAUCACA